Long non-coding RNA from Gymnodraco acuticeps, 463 nucleotides. RefSeq lists it as uncharacterized. The transcript is spliced from 3 exons. The record is from RefSeq and is a predicted model, not a curated record. NCBI's taxonomy places the organism in Eukaryota, Metazoa, Chordata, Actinopteri, Perciformes, Bathydraconidae.
GGAGGACGAUGCUGUUCCUACUUUGUUUGGACCAGCGGGAGAUUCGGGUACACAACCUAGUACAUCACAGCAGGAACACAAUACCAACUGCUCCAGUACAGUCGGAUGUCAAACAGACCGUCCACAGACUGUUUGUGUGGGAACUCAGAGGGUUGAGACACGGUCUGUGGGAACACAGACAGUGGAAUGUAAAGUGUCCGCCAUUUCUGUUGCUACACAGUUGGCCCGGGGAACACUGAAAUCGGCACACGUGAGAAGCAAAGGCAUCCAGGCCACGGUGUCUUUCAAAAGUGUUGGCACUAAAACUUCCACCUACACAGAAAUCCCCUUGUCCUCUACACCAAUAAAGGGCCCAGGAUUGGGACCUAGCAAGAGACCUCGACUAGAGUUGGAGCAGGAACAAGGAGAGACUUCGAUUGAAUUUGAAGAGACUCUGGAUUCGAGUUACCACCCUGAUGAUACU